UGGAUAACCUCGGGAAACUGAGGAUAAACCGCGAUAGGCCAUGAUUUCUGGAAUGGUUCAUGGCUAAAAUCUAUAUGGCCUCUGGAUUGGACUGCGGCCGAUCAGGCUGUUGGUGAGGUAAUGGCCCACCAAACCUAUAACCGGUACGGGCUCUGAGAGGAGGAGCCCGGAGAUGGGCACUGAGACAAGGGCCCAGGCCCUAUGGGGCGCAGCAGGCGCGAAAUCUCUGCAAUAGGCGAAAGCUUGACAGGGUUACUCUGAGUGAUUCCCGCUAAGGGGAUCUUUUGGCACCUCUAAAAAUGGUGCAGAAUAAGGGGUGGGCAAGUCUGGUGUCAGCCGCCGCGGUAAUACCAGCACCCCGAGUGGUCGGGACGAUUAUUGGGCCUAAAGCAUCCGUAGCCGGUACUGCAAGUCUUCCGUUAAAUCCACCUGCUCAACAGUUGGGCUGCGGGGGAUACUACAGCGCUAGGAGGCGGGAGAGGCAAGCGGUACUUAAUGGGUAGGGGUAAAAUCCACUGAGCCAUUGAAGACCACCAGUGGCGAAGGCGGCUUGCCAGAACGCGCUCGACGGUGAGGGAUGAAAGCUGGGGGAGCAAACCGGAUUAGAUACCCGGGUAGUCCCAGCUGUAAACGAUGCAGACUCGGUGAUGGGCUGGCCUUGUGCCAACCCAGUGCCGCAGGGAAGCCGUUAAGUCUGCCGCCUGGGGAGU
RNAcentral lists this ribosomal RNA (710 nucleotides) under uncultured crenarchaeote. RNAcentral's name for it is "SSU rRNA". It matches the Rfam family "Archaeal small subunit ribosomal RNA", at positions 123 to 836 of the family's 1478-position model. The record is from RNAcentral. Lineage: Archaea; Thermoproteati; Thermoproteota.